CGAUGAAAACGAUGACGGGGUGUGACGGUUUGGGGAGGUCUGUUUUGUGGCGAUGCGCAGGAUGGAGCCCAGGACGGAACCCAGGGUUUCACGCAUGCUAGCCCUAGGGCCUUAACGUUUACUGCAGUGUUAGGUCCUUUAGGGGAACCUGUGGCCCUCGGAGAGGCCCUGACCGCCCUCCGCUUCCCUCCCGCGGUACCGCCACAUCCUCCCCUGUGUCCCCGUCCCCUCCUCAAGCCAGUCCCAGCCAGGCCGCUGCAAAAAGCUGCGUCUGCGAGCAUCUCUAAGGGACUGCCCUCUUUUCUCUUUUCUUCCCUUUUUGAAAAAAGUUGACACAGGGUCUCAUUGCAUAGCCCUAGCUGGUCUGGUGUUUGCUCUGUAGACAAGGCUGGCCCUGAACUCACAGAGACCCUCCUGCCGCUUGCGACUCUUGUGUUCACUCCCUGCCCCAGCUUCUGGCUUUCAGUUUCUCUGGGUCUCUCUGUCCACAGCCGUGGCUCCAGGCACAUGAGUCCAGGUCUGCGGCGCCUGGAGUCCACUCCUCUCCACCCCCUCUGCUCCUCACCCACCUCACUCCAGGGUGAUUUUCUGCUAAGAACCAGAAAGCUGUGACCUUUGGCCUAGAGCCUUAACUGGGAAGCUGCAGUCCUCCCCCUUGUUGACUUCUCUGCAGUCCUCCCUGUCAUUCUCUGUAUCCUCCCCCUUGGCUCACUCUCUAGCUGUGUGGUCCUCCCGGUUGCACUAUUUCUCACUGCGUCACUCCGCCGCUAUUGUGUAGUUCCUCUUUUUCCCUUCAUUGCUUAACUCUUUGAAAAGGAAACUGGAAAGAAGUUUAUUGCAGAGCCAAAGAACACACUCAAGAAAGUGUGUGGCCUUCUCCAGGGAGUCGCCCCAUUGCCUAACUUUAUUCUCAUUAUAGAGCGGUACUAAAAAGAAAUAGAGAAAAAGAGAAAGCCAAGAGCCAAAAAGAGAAAAAAUAAUUAACGGAGAUUUCUCCCUCUAAGUGGUAAAUAUCAGCACAAUCACACAGUCACCAGAUACGCAGCGUGCCUGGAAGAGUCCUCCUCCCACUGGCUGAUUUAUUCUGCUACCCCAGUGGCUGAUUUAUUCCGACCUGUGUUUCUGAGCUCGGGUAUUCGAGUCUUUGGGUUCCUGGUCUGCUUCCUCUGAUUUGGAGCUCUGAUUUGCUUGGUUCUGCUGCACGUCGCUCGUCUCCUGCGUGCAAGAGUUUAUAAUGUGCCCUUCCUGGUAUUGCUCAUGCACGUCCCGCAGAUGGGAAACAGGAGGCUCUGAGGAACCGAGUGGCCUGGCCUGCGGCAUUGUUCCCUCUGGUUCCUGUCCCUUGUGGAGCCCAAAGCUCUUCUGGUCUGUGGGUUCUGUGACCUCCUUCUGAAUGUCAACCCGCUUCCCAUUUGGGCUAAAUUUCAGCAAGCCAGUUUCCCUUACUUGCUCCCCCCAAAACUUUGACCCGGGGACCUACACUCCCUCGGAGACGUCACAGUCACACACCCCUUCCACAGGUGCAGUUCCUUCACUGUGAGCAGUGCCGUCCAGUGGCUCUGAUCAAGAGGGAAAUUGCAUGCAAGUAAGAUUCAGAAUUCACGGGAUCUGAACUUGCCUCUCAUUCCUGCUAAUUUAACCAACACGGAUACUUUUGUGUGUUCAUUUCUAAACAUUUAAAGGCUAAAUAUACAUUAUAUUUAUUUAUACAAAGUGCAUGUCUUAUAUAUAUAUGUUUAUGCAUGCCACUCUUGUUUUAGAACAAAAUUUUACUGUAACCAAGAGCUUUAAAAAAACUUAAUGAAAUUACCUAUCUUUCCCAUUUACUCAACAGCCUAUUUAUAAAAAAAGAAACAGCUGGCAGUGGUGGUGCACGGCUUUAAUCCUAGUACUCGGGAGGCAGAAGCAGGUGGAUCUCUGUGAGUCUGAGGCCAGCCUGGUCUACAGAGGGAGUGCCAGGACAGCCAGGGCUGCACACAGAGAAGCGCUGUCUGGGGGUGGGAAGGGGGGAGAAAGAGAAGAAAGAAGGUAAGAAAACAAUAACUAGAAAGACAGCUCAGCUGGCUAAGGCGCUUGCCACCAAACUGUUGCCCUGAGUUUGAUCCCCAGGACCAUAGUAGGAGGAGGGUACUGACACUGUCCUCUACUGGAGCAUGUGCCCUCCACCCCCAGCAAAUAAAUAAACAGAUAGAUAGAUAGAUAGAUAGAUAGAUAGAUAGAUAGAUAGAUAGAUAGAUAGAUGUAAUAAAAACAAGCCCAAGUCUCUUCCUUGCUUAUGUGUUUCUUUCACUGUAACCUGCCUGGAAGAUGGUUUCGUGGCUUGAGAUGGAAUUUGUUGUUCUUUUUGUUUGUUUUUUCGAGACAGGGUUUCUCUGUGGCUUUUGAGACUGUCCUGGAACUAGCUCUUGUAGACCAGGCUGGUCUCGAACUCACAGAGAUCUGCUUGCCUCUGCCUCCCAAGUGCUGGGACUAAAGGCGUGCACCACCAAUGCCCAGCUCUGUUGUUCUUUUCUUAAAGCCCUGAAAUAUAUUAUUAGGUUUCUCCCUAGCAGUGAUUUUAAAAAGUCAUAUUACUCAAUAAAGAGACUUUUCCAUGAACAGACUCAGUAUUUCCAUCAUAAAGAGAACACAUUAUGCAAUGACUGAGCAGCUUUAAACAAAAUUAGAAAAAGCAAGGAAAUCCACCCUAGAACCUUCUGGAAGCUGUUUCUCCACCACUCAGACUUUAACUUCCUCCUUCGUGAAAUAAUGAUGUUGUCCCAAAGACUCCAAUUAUUCCUUAUAGGACUCAAAAGGAAGGUAUUGGAAGGAGAUAAGUUCGAAUUCCCCUUCUAGUACCUUUCUCUCCCCACCAUCCUUAGGGCUUCCUUCUGUUUGGCUCUCUCGUUCUAUACUUUUCAGUCUCUGUGGAUCUGACUUGGAGAAGAAUCUUGUUUAAGUUGAAUCGUAUAAACUAUGUCCUUUUGGGGCUGCCUUGAUUCAGUUAACAUAAUUUCAUUACGGUCCAUCCAUGCUGUUAUAGCAUGGGGCAGGGUUUCUUCCUUCAUUUCAAUGUUUUAGUUACAUUUGCUUAUUUACAGGGGAGUGAGUGUUAGCCAUGGUGAGUGUGCAGAAGUCAGAGGACAACUUGUGGGAGUCAGUUGUCUCCUUCUACCACGUAUGUCCCAGGGAUCAGACUCAGCUUGUCAAGCCUUCUGUGGGGUAUCUUUUCCCUCUGAGCCAGCUCACUGCUUCUUCCUUUGUUUUUGACAAGGUCUUGAUGUACAGCCCAGGCAAGCCUUAAACUCAGGGUUCCUCUGCCUCUCAAGCACUGUGAUUAUAAGCAUGCAAUACCAUGCCUAGGCAGCAUUUUCUUUCUUUUUAAAGAUAUUAAUAUCCCACUGUUUGUAUGUCAGGCCUUUGUUUAUUCACUCAUCUCUUGAUGGACACUUGGGUCCAUCUCUUUCUGUGUUGGGACCAUCCUCUCUCUCUCUCUCUCUCUCUCUCUCUCUCUCUCUCUCUCUCUCUCUCCUUCCUUUCCUCCCUUCCUCAAACCAGUGUCUUGCUACAUUGUCCAGAUGGGUCUCAGACUCAUGGAUUUGAGUAAACCUUCUGCCUCAGCAUCCCAAGUAGCUCCAGUACAGGGACAUACCAUCGCUCCCACUUUAAAGUAGCUUUCUGGAGAGUUGUGUCUCGGGUCCCAGUUUCUCACUCUGUGAACCCCCAGGCCACCAGUUCUCAUGCCUUGAGUUGGUGUAUUUUCUGUGUGUGUCUCUAGCUCAGCCAUUUCUGCUGGCUCAGACCUCCAUAUCUGCCUGCUAGCAUGUUUCUCUGUAAAUCUAGUGCCCUUAUAUUUUUGAUUGAAACAGGGUCUCCCUAUGUAUCCCUAGCUAGUCUGGGUGUCUGUGCACCCCAGGUUAACUUCAAACUUGUGGCAAUCCUCCAGCCUUUGACUACUAGUGCUGGGGUUAUGGCACGUACCACAAAGCUGGCCCCAUUGUGUCUCUUUCUUAGCUUCAAGGAAUGACUAUCGUCAUUGCCGAAUCCCCAAGACCCUGAGCCAUUCUUACCUUUCUCCUUCCCUGUGGUGUACCCCCUCAGACACUAAUCACACCCUCUGCUAGCCCCCAUCUUGGUCACCACAAUGCCAGCCCUCUGAUGGGAAAGUCCUUCUGUGUAUAUGGUUGUCUUAUUGGUUGAUGAAUAAAGCACUGUUGGCCAAUGAGGAAGCAGGAUAGGUGGGACUAGGAGUCGAGGAGGAUUCUGGGAACGGUAGCAAGGACAGAGUCUCCAUCUGAGCCUAGGAAGAGAGGACGCAUGCUGCGGCAUCCUCAAUAAGUCUUUAUAAAUACAUGGAUUAAUGGUUAUGGUUGAUAAUUAAGACUGAGCUAGCAGAUAAGAAAUCCUAGUCAUUGGCCAGCAGCAUUGUACCUAAUAUUAAUCUCUGUGUGUUAUUUUGGGUGCCCAUGUGGUGACGGGGCUUGGGCAGCUGGCAGAAAGAGUUAUCGUUACAGCCCCCUUUGCCUCUCAUAGGACUCCUGCAGUAGACACCCAAUGGGAUCCCAGCCUUGCCUUCUUACAACCCAUUUCCGAUAACCACCAUUCAAGGUAGUUAUCUUUGUAGACUGAAAACUUAUCAAUUGUCCCACCCACAUCUCUUCUCAAAACUCUCAAAGUCUACCUUCACAGUAAUUUCUAGCUCCCUAAAAUGGCCAACAGUGACAAGUGGUUACUUAUUCACAACCUUCAGGACUGAGUUUCCAGUGUUUUUCUUCCAUGUAUGGCUAGAAGGAUCCUGACUUCCUUCUUUGGUCCCCAUGUAUAUCUCUAUUUUCCUUGUUGGGCAAACUGUUGGGGGGCAUUGAUGGCUUAAAGAUAGGAGCUCAUAUAUUCCAUACAAGCUUUAAACUCACUACACAGGCAAGGAUGGCCUUGAGUUUCUGAUCCUCUUGUCUCCACCUGGAAAGUCCUGGGAUUACAGGCCUGCAUCACCUCAUCAAGUGUUCAACAAUGCUGAGGAUCCAAUCCCAGACUUCAUCCGUGCUACCUUCUGAGAUAUACUCCAGUCCUAUCUCUGUCCAGUUUUUUCUUCCUCUCUUUUGUUUUUGUUUUUCAAGACAGGGUUUCUCUGUGUAACCCAGGCUGUCCAAGAACUCAUUUUAUAGACCAAGCUGGUCUCAAACUCACAGAGAUCUGCCUGCCUCUGCCUCUUGAGAGCUGGAAUUAAAGGUGUGUGCCACCACCUUCUCUGUCUGUUUCUUAACAUUCUUAGCUGCAAGAUGUUAGAUGAUUUCUUUUAAGCCUUAGGAUACUAUGUGAUUUUGUUUUUUGAAUUUGUGGGCUUUCAAUUAUGUUACCCAAGUUAGAUUCAGAUUCCUGAGCUCAGGAGAGCUCCUGCCUCAGUCUUCUGAGUAGCUGGGGCUGUGUGUAUGUAUCACUGCCCUGUCUGGAUUUUUAUUAUCAUUGACAUUUUUAAAAUAUUGGGGCUGAAGAGGUGGCUCAGAGGUUAAGAGCACUGGCUGCUCUUCCAGAGGCCCUGAGUUCAAUUCCCAGCAACCACAUGGUGGCUCACAAGCAUCUGUAAUGAGAUCUGGUGCCCUCUUCUGGCCUGGAGGCAGACAUGGAGGCAGAACACUGUAUACAUAAUAGAUAAAUAAAUCUUUAAAAAAUUAUGUACGUGCAUGUGUGUGUGUGUGUGUGUGUGUAUGCAUUGUGUGCGUUUGUGUGUGUGUGUGUGUGUACGCAUGUGUUUGCGUUCGUGUGUGUGUGUGUGUGUGUGUAUGUGUGUGCGUUCGUGUGUGUGUGUGUGUUGUGUGUGUGUGUAUAUGCAUGUGUGUGCGUUCGUGUGUGUGUGUGUGUGUGUAUGUGUGUGCGUUUGUGUGUUUGUGUGUGCGUUCGUGUGUUUGUGUGUGCGUUCGUGUGUUUGUGUGUAGCGUAUGUGUGUGAGUUCGUGUGUGUGUGUGUGUGUGUAUGUGUGUGCGUUCGUGUGUGUGUGUGUGUGUGUGUGUGUGCGUUCCUGUGUUUGUGUGUGUAUGUGUGUGCGUUCGUGUGUGUGUGUGUGUGUGUGUGUGUAUGUGUGUGCGUUCC
RNAcentral lists this long non-coding RNA (6066 nucleotides) under Cricetulus griseus (Chinese hamster). Its description in RNAcentral is "lncRNA (ENSCGRG00015034709.1)". The record is from RNAcentral. Lineage: Eukaryota; Metazoa; Chordata; Mammalia; Rodentia; Cricetidae.